Molecule: ribosomal RNA, 397 nt
Filed under: uncultured bacterium
Lineage: Bacteria
Description: bacterial SSU rRNA
Rfam family: Bacterial small subunit ribosomal RNA
Source: RNAcentral
AUUGAACGCUGGCGGCAUGCCUUACACAUGCAAGUCGAACGGCAGCACGGGAGCUUGCUCCUGGUGGCGAGUGGCGAACGGGUGAGUAAUACAUCGAAACGUACCCUGAAGUGGGGGAUAACGUAGCGAAAGUUACGCUAAUACCGCAUAUUCUGUGAGCAGGAAAGAGGGGGGAUCGCAAGACCUCUUGCUUUAGGAGCGGCCGAUGUCGGAUUAGCUAGUUGGUGAGGUAAAGGCUCACCAAGGCGACGAUCCGUAGCGGGUCUGAGAGGACGACCAGCCACACUGGAACUGAGACACGGUCCAGACUCCUACGGGAGGCAGCAGUGGGGGAAUUUUUGGACAAUGGGGGGCAACCCUGAUCCAGCCAUUCCGCUGAGUGAAGAAGGCCUCGGUU